This 762-nucleotide ribosomal RNA is filed under the name Triticum aestivum (bread wheat). RNAcentral's name for it is "partial small subunit ribosomal RNA". Lineage: Eukaryota; Viridiplantae; Streptophyta; Magnoliopsida; Poales; Poaceae. The record is from RNAcentral.
AUGGAGAAACGCGCGGAGGAGCUCCGGGGCCUCAAUCAAGAAGCUCUCCGGUCCCUGGCACAGGAGCGGGAGCGACUCGCCGAGGAGCAUACAGCCUUCCUUCUCGAGAAGGCCGAAGCUGAGGAGGAACAAAGGCUUGCUGCCGAGAAGCAAUCCGCGCGAGAAGGCGAGUUGGUGCAGCGGAAGGCCAACCUCGACAGCUACGAGGAGGAGCUUGCCGAGCGCGAGCAAGCAAUUGGCGGGGCGCUCAAGGAAGCAAAGGACGCUUCCGCAACUGCAGAGGCCGCCAAGAAAGAGCUGGAGGCGAAGGUGGCACAGCUGGAGGCCAAUAUCAGGAAGAGCGGCGAGGAGCUUGCCGCGCUCAAGCGUGAGCGCGAGAAGGAUGCUGCCGCCCAUGGUGAGCUACAAGGUCUUCUCGCUGAGAGGGGCAAGGAGCUCAGCACCGCCAAGGACUCCAACGCGGAUCUCGAGUUGAAGCUGGCUACGCUGACUCAGACGCUGGACGCCGCCAAGGAGCGAGAGGUGACCUUGUCGGAGAAGAUCAAGGCCGACGCAGCGCUGCUGGCGAGCAUCGCCGUUACCCAGAACUCAUUUAGGGAGAUCGUGGAGCAUUGGACCGAGGGUCUGGUGAACAUCGCCGCAGUCAUCGACGGGGAGCUGGCGCAGCUGGGGAUGGAGGACUUUGGGUAUCCUUCCGAUGAGCAUCUCCAACCCAGCGCCAAGCUCAGCCUGUUCUUCAAGGGCGUGGCGACGGCACUCUAG